RNAcentral lists this transfer RNA (74 nucleotides) under Mesorhizobium sp. B2-2-4. RNAcentral's name for it is "tRNA-Thr". Lineage: Bacteria; Pseudomonadati; Pseudomonadota; Alphaproteobacteria; Hyphomicrobiales; Phyllobacteriaceae. The record is from RNAcentral. RNAcentral also lists the same sequence under 2 other names.
AACCCUUGAAAAGCGGCCAGUUCACAUCAUUCGUAAUGAUGGGGUCGCGUGUUCGAGUCACGCAAGCGGCACCA